CUGAUCUGCAAAUCUCCUGUCUUCAGAUUAUGUGAUAGCCCCAAUGCCUCUCUGAAGAUGACCAAUAAUUUCCCUUGAAGAGGAAUACAGGACUUAGUCUUUGCUUAAAGGCUGAAGCCGUUUGGGAGAGGGAGAAUCUUUAUUAACAGCAGGCAUUUGGAGGCUCCUCCUAAUCACUUCUUCAACUUCACAUAACCUGAGAAAAAGCCACUUUUAUUCUCCUCCGAAUUGUCCAUGGGAGACUGUUAUACGUGCACGCAUUUAAUUUUAUGUUAAUUGUAUGUUAAAUGUUUUCUGAUGCCAAGACUUCUUUGCAAUAUGUCCAUUUCAAGCAUCGCAGCAAAGGAAAAGGCACCUGUCCUUGCGUUUUUUGGCUUGUCCCCGUCUGGAGCUCUGCUGUGGCCUGUCAGUAGGGACAUAAGACAUUGGAGUAGUCCUGGAAGUUGAAAUCUUCGCAUUUUAUUCAUUCCCUGGAACAGAUCCAAUGUUGGAGCCACUGCUUCAAGAGACUUCUUCCUCCUGGAUUUCUUCAGCUUUCUAAAGAGAAGACGCAGACAAUUUACCAAACCACCGUCUUGACCUGGCUGCACAUUUAGAAUCAUCCUCAGAGUUCUUAAAACUCCCAGGGUUCAAGGCAGCACCCCAGAUCAAUAGAGACUAAAUCCCCAGGGGUGGGAUCCAAGCAUCUGUACUUUAUAAAGCGCAUCAAGUGAUUCUGUUGGUUGAGA
Molecule: long non-coding RNA, 728 nt
Filed under: Felis catus (domestic cat)
Lineage: Eukaryota; Metazoa; Chordata; Mammalia; Carnivora; Felidae
Description: lncRNA (ENSFCAG00000047704.1)
Source: RNAcentral